Molecule: non-coding RNA, 290 nt
Organism: Paramuricea clavata
Lineage: Eukaryota; Metazoa; Cnidaria; Anthozoa; Malacalcyonacea; Plexauridae
Source: the annotation of a GenBank genome assembly
AUUUGGCCAAUAAGAUUAAGCACAAUGACAAUAAUAAUUUUGAAAAAUAUCUCAAAGGUAGUUAUCAAUCCAGUUUCUUUCUUAAUCCUAUCACAGAAAAUGAACUUGAAAUAGAACUGAUAAAUAUAAAGUCAAACAAAAGUUGUGGAUAUGAUGGAAUUAGUUCAAACAUUGCAAAAUUAAUAGCUAAAGAAAUAUCUAAACCAUUAACACAUAUAUUCAACCUAUCAUUCUCAACUGGAAUUAUCCCAGAUAAUCUCAAAGUUGCAUUGAUUACACCAAUUUUUAAG